UUCAGCUGUAACUCACUGAGGGACCGCACUUUUGUGCAGAUAAAUGGGAUACUAUUAUGUUAAUGAGAAUUUCAAUAUUAAUAAUGUUCCCGUCUAUCGCAAGACAUCAGUUACUGAACAUGUUUUACUGGAAAGGAAACAUGUUGAAGUAAUGAUGAAUCAUAAACCGCCCCAGGCUGGAAACAGAGCAGGGUUAAUGAUCGCUGAUGUACGGUGUGAAGAUUACGGUUGAACAUGUAAAUAUUUCAGAAUUCUCGUUUACGUGAUAUGUACACCAUUUCUCC
This is a non-coding RNA of Plasmodium relictum, 284 nucleotides long. NCBI's taxonomy places the organism in Eukaryota, Apicomplexa, Aconoidasida, Haemosporida, Plasmodiidae. The record is from RefSeq and is a predicted model, not a curated record.